GACUCUUUUGCAAAAUUAAGUUCCCAUCCGGAAGCAUCUUUAGUUUGGUUGGGGCUAAUACACUUUCCGAUACCAUUUACUAAUGACUUGUUGGGGUGGGGUGGGGGGUAUUUUUUAAUGAAAUAUCAUAAAUAUCAUAAAUUAUGAAAUGCCAGUCCUAAGAAUUAGGAGCAGCCUUAUUUCCAGCCUGGUCCUAUGGGUGUCUGGCAGGGACUGCUGCCGUGCUAGUGCUGGAAUAAGUCAUGCUUAAAUACCAUUGAUAGGGACGUGGGUGGCGUUGUGGUCUAAACCACAGAGCCUCUUGGGCUUGCUGAUUGGAAGGUCGGCGGUUCGAAUACCCGUGAUGGGGUGAGCUCCCGUUGCUCAGUCCCAGCUCCUGCCAACCUAGCAGUUUGAAAGCACAUAAAAGUGCAAGUAGAUAAAUAGGUACCACUGCGGCAGGAAGGUAAAUGGCAUUUCUGUGCGCUGCUCUGGUUCGCCAGAAGUGGCUUAGUCAUGCUGGCCACAUGACCCGGAAGCUGUAUGCCAGCUCCCUCAUCCAGUAAAGCGAGAUGAGCGCCACAGCCCCGGAGUCGGCCACGACUGGACCUAAUGGUCAGGGGUCCCUUUACCUUUA
Molecule: non-coding RNA, 616 nt
Organism: Podarcis lilfordi (Lilford's wall lizard)
Lineage: Eukaryota; Metazoa; Chordata; Lepidosauria; Squamata; Lacertidae
Source: the annotation of a GenBank genome assembly